GGAGGUCUUCUCAUCACUGGGCCCAUAAUGUGAUUUCCGUCUUCCUCCCAUCUUUGAUUUUUCACUGCCUAUUCCUUUCACCUCCUGCCCUUCAUUAUUUGUUCCUUUAUUUAGCAAAACAAAAAAUAAGUUCAUCUGGAAUAUUCAUUAAGUGAUCAGUCAUCACCGCUCUAUGUCUAGAGAAAGAGGCAAAGAUUUCGCCGAAGGAUCGUCUGCUGGAGGUUCUCUGAAUGAUGAUCAGCAGCAGCCUGCCACACCAAGCCGCUAUGAAUCCCAGAAGAGAAGGGACUGGAACACUUUUGGUCAGUACUUGAAGAACCAGAGGCCUCCAGUGGCGCUGUCUCAGAGCAAUUACAACCAUGUACUGGAGUUUCUUAGGUAUCUGGACCAGUUUGGGAAGACCAAAGUUCAUCUCCAGGGUUGCAUGUUUUAUGGGCAGCCUGAGCCUCCUGCUCCUUGCACAUGUCCACUUAGGCAAGCCUGGGGCAGCCUGGAUGCUCUCAUAGGGAGGCUGAGGGCUGCCUACGAAGAAAAUGGAGGAUCCCCGGAGAACAACCCUUUCGCUAGCGGUGCAAUCAGGGUUUACCUGAGGGAGGUCAGGGAGUGCCAAGCUAUGGCAAGAGGGAUUCCUUUUAAGAAGAAAAAGAAGAAGCCAAGUCCAAGCAAGGGAUCCGGACCAAAUGAUGAUGAAUCAAGUUCUACCAUGCAUUUCUCUUGAUGCAUUUUGAUUCCUUUGGCCAAUUUCAGAAUUAAUCAAAGGAUUAAAUAUUAGAUUCGGGAGCCAAAGGAGUUUGAACCCACGUCAUUGUGAUCAUAUGAAAAUUGAGCGAAAAGGAAGGAAAUUGAGCCAAAAGGAAGGAAUUGUUCCAAAGGAAUUUGCCUGGAUACUUUCAGUAUUGUCAAGUUUGAUUAUGGCUUCUUUUUUUUUUUUUCUUUUUUUUUCAGUCAAAUUACAUAAGGAAUAAGUUGAUCCAUAUAAGUAGCGAUCACUUAUGGCUUGCUGGCAUGAACACGAAUCGGUAUUAGUUCCUUUUGUUAAAUUGUAAUUGGAGAAUUUGAAAGCAUGUAAUAGAUUAUCGGAAAUCGUUAUGUCCAUAGUUGUCAAUACUAUCAGGACUAUAAUGAUAUUAUGUGUUUCCUACA
Malus domestica (apple) is the source of this 1143-nucleotide RNA transcript. It is a transcript of the gene named protein LIGHT-DEPENDENT SHORT HYPOCOTYLS 10-like, with no coding region annotated. Lineage: Eukaryota; Viridiplantae; Streptophyta; Magnoliopsida; Rosales; Rosaceae. The record is from RefSeq and is a predicted model, not a curated record.